RNAcentral lists this ribosomal RNA (274 nucleotides) under uncultured bacterium. Its description in RNAcentral is "partial 16S ribosomal RNA". It matches the Rfam family "Bacterial small subunit ribosomal RNA", at positions 523 to 796 of the family's 1533-position model. The record is from RNAcentral.
AUACGGAGGGUGCGAGCGUUAAUCGGAAUUACUGGGCGUAAAGCGCGCGUAGGCGGUUUGGUCAGUCGGAUGUGAAAGCCCCAGGCUCAACCUGGGAAUGGCAUUCGAUACUGCCUGACUAGAGUAUGGUAGAGGGAAGUGGAAUUUCCGGUGUAGCGGUGAAAUGCGUAGAUAUCGGAAGGAACACCAGUGGCGAAGGCGACUUCCUGGGCCAAUACUGACGCUGAGGUGCGAAAGCGUGGGGAGCAAACAGGAUUAGAAACCCCGGUAGUCC